Long non-coding RNA from Mercurialis annua (annual mercury), 769 nucleotides. RefSeq lists it as uncharacterized. The transcript is spliced from 2 exons. The record is from RefSeq and is a predicted model, not a curated record. NCBI's taxonomy places the organism in Eukaryota, Viridiplantae, Streptophyta, Magnoliopsida, Malpighiales, Euphorbiaceae.
GAUUGAUUUUCAUGAAAUUAAAGUAAAGCAGAAUUCCAUAUUACACUCAAAAUCAAGAAUUCUUGAACAAAUUGUGGGCUCUGGCAGUAGCAAGAUUUUAUUUCUGCUCUUUCCUAAAUAAAGUGGCUUCUAUCACCUUCACUGACUGUUCCUCCCCCGCUACAGCUCGGCUUCUUCCCUUUACCCGCAGCACAACCUCCGCCGCUUUCCGUCGUAAUCAUAGUGCGUCUUUCUCCGCCGGUUGGUGGGUCCUCUCUCAUUUAACACCACCUCCCUUAGAACUCUCAGUUAACACCACCUCCCUUAGAACAGUUAGUGUUGGGUCUUCACCAACUACUCAAUCGCCAGCCAUCAAUGCUUCAUUGGCGAGCGAGACGGGUGCUAAGGUGAUUGAUGGGAAGAUGAUGGGUAAGAAAAUAAGGGAGGAGAUAAGUGCUGAAGUAUCAAGGAUGAAGGAUGAAAUUGGCGUUGUUCCCGAGUUGGCUGUUAUUCCCGGGUUGAUGAUCCUUCCAUUCAUGGCAUCCUUGUGCAGUUGCCUCUUCCUUCCGUAUGCUUCUGAGUUUGAUUACUUUGCCUCUUCAUUCAUGGCUGGAGAAGAACAAGGCGAUGGCCGGAGAAGCAGCUCUUCUCCGGCCUCCAUGGCCGGAGAAUAAAAAAUUAGAAUUAAAAAAAAAUUAUUAGGAUGUAUUUGAAACUUUUUUAAAUUAAAGGAUUUGUUUGUAUUUUUUUUAAAUUGAAAAAAGUAAUAUAAAGCCCUUAUAUUUAGUUA